UUUUUUUGCAUACACAUUACAAUUUUCUUUGAAAAAUGCAAACAAAGUCACUUUCACUGACAAUAUAAUCACUGUGAUAUGUUUUACUGUUUUGAAACAUUAAUAUUGGUGUUCAGUGAAGUCUCCUGAGUAAAGCAGUACCCCCCAUGUACAGGUUUUAGGAUGUCAUAAAAAGUUUCAGGGUUAAAUACAGUGCUAGCAAAUUAAAUUCUCUGGACUUUCGGCCUGGGUUGUCAGGCAGGUCCCUCAAAUGGCAAUCAAUAAAAUUACUUGAUAAUGUAAAAAUAUGACAUAGAUUUGCACGUAGAA
Molecule: non-coding RNA, 309 nt
Organism: Pelobates cultripes (western spadefoot toad)
Lineage: Eukaryota; Metazoa; Chordata; Amphibia; Anura; Pelobatidae
Source: the annotation of a GenBank genome assembly